CCGGCACGGGUGAGUAACACGUAUGCAAUCCACCUGUAACAGGGGGAGUAACCCGGCGAAAUACCGGACUAAUACCCAUAAUAUGGGCGCUCCGCAUGGAGAGCCCAUUAAAGAGAGCAAUUUUGGUUACAGACGAGCAUGCGCUCCAUUAGCCAGUUGGCGGGGUAACGGCCCACCAAGGCGACGAUGGAUAGGGGUUCUGAGAGGAAGGUCCCCCACAUUGGAACUGAGACACGGUCCAA
This 242-nucleotide ribosomal RNA is filed under the name uncultured bacterium. RNAcentral's name for it is "partial 16S ribosomal RNA". It matches the Rfam family "Bacterial small subunit ribosomal RNA", at positions 100 to 334 of the family's 1533-position model. The record is from RNAcentral.